UACGUAGGGUGCAAGCGUUGUCCGGAUUUAUUGGGUUUAAAGGGUGCGUAGGCGGCCCGUUAAGUCAGUGGUGAAAGCCUCCAGCUCAACUGGAGAACUGCCAUUGAUACUGGCGGGCUUGAGUACAGACGAGGUUGGCGGAAUUGAUUGUGUAGCGGUGAAAUGCAUAGAUACAAUCAAGAACACCGAUUGCGUAGGCAGCUAACUAGGCUGUAACUGACGCUGAGGCACGAAAGCGUGGGGAGCGAACAGG
This 253-nucleotide ribosomal RNA is filed under the name uncultured bacterium. RNAcentral describes it as "partial 16S ribosomal RNA". It matches the Rfam family "Bacterial small subunit ribosomal RNA", at positions 524 to 776 of the family's 1533-position model. The record is from RNAcentral.